UGAGUUAACCUGCCCUUCACUCUGGGAUAACUCCGGGAAACCGGGGCUAAUACUGGAUAUGACUCGAACAGGCAUCUGUUUCGGGUGGAAAGAUUUAUUGGUGGAGGAUGGACUCGCGGCCUAUCAGCUAGUUGGUGAGGUAAUGGCCCACCAAGGCUUCGACGGGUAGCCGGCCUGAGAGGGUGACCGGCCACACGUGGGACUGAGACACGGCCCAGACCUCCGUACGGGGAGGCA
Molecule: ribosomal RNA, 237 nt
Filed under: uncultured bacterium
Lineage: Bacteria
Description: partial 16S ribosomal RNA
Rfam family: Bacterial small subunit ribosomal RNA
Source: RNAcentral